This 263-nucleotide ribosomal RNA is filed under the name uncultured bacterium. Its description in RNAcentral is "partial 16S ribosomal RNA". It matches the Rfam family "Bacterial small subunit ribosomal RNA", at positions 524 to 776 of the family's 1533-position model. The record is from RNAcentral.
UACGGAGGGAGCGUAGCGUUGUUCGGAAUUACUGGCGUAAAGCGUACGUAGGCGGUUAUUCAAGUCAGAGGUGAAAGGCCCGGGGCUACCAACCCCGGGAACUGCCAUUUGAAAACUAGAUAGCUAGAAUCUUGGAGAGGUCAGUGGAAUUCCGAAGUGUAGAGGUGAAAUUCGUAGAUAUUCGGAAGAAACACCAGUGGCGAAGGCGGUUCUCUGGGCCUGGUACUGACGCUGAGGAGCGAAAGCGUGGGGAGCGAAACAGG